UACGAAGGGUGCAAGCGUUACUCGGAAUUACUGGGCGUAAAGGGUGCGUAGGUGGUUUUUUAAGUCCGUUGUGAAAUCCCUGGGCUCAACCUGGGAAUGGCAGUGGAUACUGGAAAGCUAGAGUGCGGUAGAGGAUAGUGGAAUUCCCAGUGUAGUGGUGAAAUACGUAGAGAUUGGGAAGAACACCAGUGGCGAAGGCGGCUAUCUGGACGGUUUCUGACACUAAGACUCGAAAGCGUGGGGAGCAAACAGG
Molecule: ribosomal RNA, 253 nt
Filed under: uncultured bacterium
Lineage: Bacteria
Description: partial 16S ribosomal RNA
Rfam family: Bacterial small subunit ribosomal RNA
Source: RNAcentral